AGAACGAACGCUGGCGGCAGGCUUAACACAUGCAAGUCGAACGCUCGUAGCAAUACGGGAGUGGCAGACGGGUGAGUAACGCGUGGGAACAUACCCUCCGGUUCGGAAUAGCUCAGGGAAACUUGGAUUAAUACCGGAUACGGCCGAGAGGCGAAAGAUUUAUCGCCGGAGGAUUGGCCCGCGUUCGAUUAGCUAGUUGGUGAGGUAACGGCUCACCAAGGCGAUGAUCGAUAGCUGGUCUGAGAGGAUGAUCAGCCACAUUGGGACUGAGACACGGCCCAAACUCCUACGGGAGGCAGCAGUGGGGAAUAUUGGACAAUGGGCGCAAGCCUGAUCCAGCCAUGCCGCGUGAGUGAUGACGGCCUUAGGGUUGUAAAGCUCUUUCGCUCGGGACGAUAAUGACGGUACCGAGAUAAGAAGCCCGGCUACUUCGCGCCAGCAGCCGC
Molecule: ribosomal RNA, 446 nt
Filed under: uncultured bacterium
Lineage: Bacteria
Description: SSU rRNA
Rfam family: Bacterial small subunit ribosomal RNA
Source: RNAcentral